RNAcentral lists this ribosomal RNA (253 nucleotides) under uncultured bacterium. RNAcentral's name for it is "partial 16S ribosomal RNA". It matches the Rfam family "Bacterial small subunit ribosomal RNA", at positions 524 to 776 of the family's 1533-position model. The record is from RNAcentral.
UACGUAGGGAGCAAGCGUUGUCCGGAAUCAUUGGGCGUAAAGCGCGCGUAGGCGGCCCUGUAAGUCCGCUGUGAAAGUCAAAGGCUCAACCUUUGAAAGCCGGUGGAUACUGCAGGGCUAGAGUCCGGAAGAGGCGAGUGGAAUUCCUGGUGUAGCGGUGGAAUGCGCAGAUAUCAGGAGGAACACCAAUAGCGAAGGCAGCUCGCUGGGACGGUAUUGACGCUAAGGCGCGAAAGCGUGGGGAGCAAACAGG